CGGAACACGUACAGAACCUUCCUUUAAGCGGGGAAUAGCCCGGAGAAAUCCGGAUUAAUACCCCAUAGUAUUGUUUAAUGGCAUCAUUAGAUAAUUAAAGAUUUAUCACUUAGAGAUGGCUGUGCGGCUGAUUAGGUAGUUGGUGCGGGUAACGGCCCACCAAGCCAUCGAUCAGUAACUGGUGUGAGAGCACGACCAGUCACACGGGCACUGAGACACGGGCCCG
This 226-nucleotide ribosomal RNA is filed under the name uncultured bacterium. Its description in RNAcentral is "partial 16S ribosomal RNA". It matches the Rfam family "Bacterial small subunit ribosomal RNA", at positions 109 to 334 of the family's 1533-position model. The record is from RNAcentral.